GAUUGUUUGAUCAUGGCUCAGAUUGAACGCUGGCGGCAGGCUAACACAUGCAAGUCGAAUGGUAACAGGAAACAGCUUGCUGUUUCGCUGACGAGUGGCGGACGGGUGAGUAAUGUCUGGGAAACUGCGUGAUGGAGGGGGAUAACUACUGGAAACGGUAGCUAAUACCGCAUAACGUCGCAAGACCAAAGAGGGGGACUUUCGGGCCUCUUGCCAUCAGAUGUGCCCAGAUGGGAUUAGCUAGUAGGUGGGGUAACGGCUCACCUAGGCGACGAUCCCUAGCUGGUCUGAGAGGAUGACCAGCCACACUGGAACUGAGACACGGUCCAGACUCCUACGGGAGGCAGCAGUGGGGAAUAUUGCACAAUGGGCGCAAGCCUGAUGCAGCCAUGCCGCGUGUAUGAAGAAGGCCUUCGGGUUGUAAAGUACUUUCAGCGGGGAGGAAGGGAGUAAAGUUAAUACCUUUGCUCAUUGACGUUACCCGCAGAAGAAGCACCGGCUAACUCCGUGCCAGCAGCCGCGGUAAUACGGAGGGUGCGAGCGUUAAUCGGAAUUACUGGGCGUAAAGCGCACGCAGGCGGUUUGUUAAGUCAGAUGUGAAAUCCCCGGGCUCAACCUGGGAACUGCAUCUGAUACUGGCAAGCUUGAGUCUCGUAGAGGGGGGUAGAAUUCCAGGUGUAGCGGUGAAAUGCGUAGAGAUCUGGAGGAAUACCGGUGGCGAAGGCGGCCCCCUGGACGAAGACUGACGCUCAGGUGCGAAAGCGUGGGGAGCAAACAGGAUUAGAUACCCUGGUAGUCCACGCCGUAAACGAUGUCGACUUGGAGGUUGUGCCCUUGAGGCGUGGCUCCGGAGCUAACGCGUAAGUCGACCGCCUGGA
Molecule: ribosomal RNA, 878 nt
Filed under: uncultured bacterium
Lineage: Bacteria
Description: bacterial SSU rRNA
Rfam family: Bacterial small subunit ribosomal RNA
Source: RNAcentral